This 253-nucleotide ribosomal RNA is filed under the name uncultured bacterium. Its description in RNAcentral is "partial 16S ribosomal RNA". It matches the Rfam family "Bacterial small subunit ribosomal RNA", at positions 524 to 776 of the family's 1533-position model. The record is from RNAcentral.
UACGUAGGGUGCAAGCGUUGUCCGGAAUUAUUGGGCGUAAAGAGCUCGCAGGCGGUUUGUCGCGUCUGCUGUGAAAUCUGGAGGCUCAACCUCCAGCCUGCAGUGGGUACGGGCAGACUAGAGUGCGGUAGGGGAGAUUGGAACUCCUGGUGUAGCGGUGGAAUGCGCAGAUAUCAGGAAGAACACCGAUGGCGAAGGCAGAUCUCUGGGCCGUAACUGACGCUGAGGAGCGAAAGCAUGGGGAGCGAACAGG